Molecule: ribosomal RNA, 464 nt
Filed under: Mycolicibacterium insubricum
Lineage: Bacteria; Bacillati; Actinomycetota; Actinomycetes; Mycobacteriales; Mycobacteriaceae
Description: bacterial SSU rRNA
Rfam family: Bacterial small subunit ribosomal RNA
Source: RNAcentral
GCUGGCGGCGUGCUUAACACAUGCAAGUCGAACGGAAAGGCCCUUCGGGGUACUCGAGUGGCGAACGGGUGAGUAACACGUGGGUGAUCUGCCCUGCACUUUGGGAUAAGCCUGGGAAACUGGGUCUAAUACCGGAUAGGACUACGGCCUGCAUGGGUUGUGGUGGAAAGCUUUUGCGGUGUGGGAUGGGCCCGCGGCCUAUCAGCUUGUUGGUGGGGUGAUGGCCUACCAAGGCGACGACGGGUAGCCGGCCUGAGAGGGUGACCGGCCACACUGGGACUGAGAUACGGCCCAGACUCCUACGGGAGGCAGCAGUGGGGAAUAUUGCACAAUGGGCGCAAGCCUGAUGCAGCGACGCCGCGUGGGGGAUGACGGCCUUCGGGUUGUAAACCUCUUUCAGUAGGGACGAAGCGUAAGUGACGGUACCUAUAGAAGAAGCACCGGCCAACUACGUGCCAGCAGCC